RNAcentral lists this ribosomal RNA (260 nucleotides) under uncultured Atopobium sp. Its description in RNAcentral is "partial 16S ribosomal RNA". It matches the Rfam family "Bacterial small subunit ribosomal RNA", at positions 96 to 355 of the family's 1533-position model. The record is from RNAcentral. Lineage: Bacteria; Bacillati; Actinomycetota; Coriobacteriia; Coriobacteriales; Atopobiaceae.
AGGCGAACGGCUGAGUAACACGUGGGCAACCUGCCCUUUGCACUGGGAUAGCCUCGGGAAACCGAGGUUAAUACCGGAUACUCCAUAUCCAUCGCAUGAUAGAUAUGGGAAAGCUCCGGCGGCAAAGGAUGGGCCCGCGGCCUGUUAGCUAGUUGGUGGGGUAGUGGCCUACCAAGGCAAUGAUGGGUAGCCGGGUUGAGAGACCGACCGGCCAGAUUGGGACUGAGACACGGCCCAGACUCCUACGGGAGGCAGCAGCC